This 101-nucleotide small nuclear RNA is filed under the name Phascolarctos cinereus (koala). The record is from RNAcentral. Lineage: Eukaryota; Metazoa; Chordata; Mammalia; Diprotodontia; Phascolarctidae.
GUGCUUGCUUCAGUGCACAUUUACUAAAAUUGGAAUGAUACAGAGAAGAUUAGCAUGGCCCCUGCACAAGGAUGACAGGCAAAUUCGUGAAGUGCAUUAUU